Molecule: non-coding RNA, 108 nt
Filed under: Jeotgalibacillus campisalis
Lineage: Bacteria; Bacillati; Bacillota; Bacilli; Caryophanales; Caryophanaceae
Description: SAM-I sequence
Rfam family: SAM riboswitch aptamer (S box leader)
About the family: The SAM riboswitch is found upstream of a number of genes which code for proteins involved in methionine or cysteine biosynthesis in Gram-positive bacteria. The SAM riboswitch acts at the level of transcription termination control. The predicted structure consists of a complex stem-loop region followed by a single stem loop terminator region.
Source: Rfam by way of RNAcentral
CUCUUAUAUAGAGCGGUGGAGGGAUGUGCCCGAUGAAACCCGGCAACCAGCAGUCAAACGUGACUGGAAAGGUGCCAAUUCACACAGGUUAAACCUGGGAUAUGAGAG